UAAUACGGAGGGUGCGAGCGUUAAUCGGAAUUACUGGGCGUAAAGCGCACGCAGGCGGCUUGUUAAGCUAGAGGUGAAAGCCCCGCGCUCAACGUGGGAACUGCCUUUAGAACUGGCAGGCUAGAGUCUUGGAGAGGGGAGUGGAAUUCCAGGUGUAGCGGUGAAAUGCGUAGAUAUCUGGAGGAACAUCAGUGGCGAAGGCGGCUCCCUGGCCAAAGACUGACGCUCAUGUGCGAAAGUGUGGGUAGCGAACAGGAUUAGAUACCCUGGUAGUCCACGCCGUAAACGAUGAGAACUAGCCGUUGGGCAGAUUUAACUGUUCAGUGGCACAGCUAACGCAUUAAGUUCUCCGCCUGGGGAGUACGGCCGCAAGGCUAAAACUCAAAUGAAUUGACGGGGGCCCGCACAAGUGGUGGAGCACGUGGUUUAAUUCGAUGCAACGCGAAGAACCUUACCAACCCUUGAAAUCUAGCGAAGUUCACAGAGAUGAGAAUGUGCCUUCGGGAACGCUAUGACAGGUGUUGCAUGGCUGUCGUCAGCUCGUGUCGUGAGAUGUAUGGUUAAGUCCAGUAACGAGCGCAACCCCUAUCCUUAUUUGCCAGCGCGUUAAGGCGGGAACUAUAGGGAGGCUGCCGGGUGAAACCCGGAGGAAGGCGGGGACGAGGUCAAGUCAUCAUGGCCCUUAUGGGUUGGGCUACACACGUGCUACAAUGGGAAGUACAGAGGGACGCUAAAGCGCGAGCUGGAGCCAAACCCUUAAAACUUUUCUUAGUCCGGAUUGGAGUCUGCAACUCGACUCCAUGAAGUCGGAAUCACUAGUAAUCGCGAAUCAGAAUGUCGCGGUGAAUACGUUCUCGGGCCUUGUACACACCGCCCGUCACAUCAUGGAAGUGGGUUGCACCAGAAGUGGUUAGUCUAACCUUCGGGAAGACGAUCACCACGGUGUGAUUCAUGACUGGGAUGAAGUCGUA
This 971-nucleotide ribosomal RNA is filed under the name uncultured bacterium. RNAcentral describes it as "bacterial SSU rRNA". It matches the Rfam family "Bacterial small subunit ribosomal RNA", at positions 521 to 1490 of the family's 1533-position model. The record is from RNAcentral.